RNAcentral lists this long non-coding RNA (1029 nucleotides) under Anas platyrhynchos platyrhynchos (common mallard). Its description in RNAcentral is "lncRNA (ENSAPLG00000021477.1)". Lineage: Eukaryota; Metazoa; Chordata; Aves; Anseriformes; Anatidae. The record is from RNAcentral.
CCAGCUAUAAUCACUCACACACUACUAUUAUUUUUACAACUUUUAAAGGCACAUGGUGGUUUCUGGGGACUCCUCCUGUCACCCCAGCGCAGCAGCCCGAAGGGAGCUGGGGCCUCUCUUGGGCUCUUCCUCAAGGCUCUGCGCAGAAGGGCUGCCACCUCUCGCACAAGGCCUAGCGGAUGGGAAAGAAGCACUCACACAACCCCUGACAAUUGGCAAAGGUCUUUAUUGCCAGGUGUCUCCAGGCUAACGCCUGGAGUGGAGCCUGGGCGAUGCGGAAUAGGGAGCUUGCCGAGCCCUUCUGCACAGCUGCCGGUGUUCUUUGAGGACACUUUUCAGAGAGCUGCCGGGGGAGUCCCAUGUUUGUUGUGGCCGAGGUGGGUCCACUUCCAUCGGUUCCUCUUCGUCUCGUGCACCCACCUCCAUGGGCUCCGCAGGUUGGAGGACGAGCCAGUCCCUGGCAGGGACUGCCCACACAGGCUGCCUUCCACUGGGCAUAUUUUCUGGCCACGGUGCCGCACCAGGACGCCUCCCAGUUCCGGGCCUCGGGUCUGUUCCGUUCUCCGCUUGAUUUUCAUUCACGGAAUUCCUGAUGUCAUCUCUCCCUUGGCCACGGCUGGGUCCUGCAUCACAUUCCGUCCUCUGGGCACGGCUCCGCUUGCUGUGGCCCUCCAACCCAUGCUCUCUAUAUCUGCCGUCAUCGCUGGACCUCCGGCUAGGCCCAGGCCUGCUGCUGGUGUCCGUCCGAGGGGCCGGCCUGCUCCCUGCAUCACUUCGGCUCCAAUGAUAUUGAUCAUAACAGCCUCUGGGCCGGGCACCAGACACCUCCUGGGCACUGAUGGUUCUUGUGCUGGAGGUGCUGGCCCUCGACCCACGGCGCAUCCAUGCAGAGCCAGACAUCCUUCUCAGUGGUCCCAGGAACAAUUUCUUGUCCUCGCACUGAGAAGGGCUGCUGCUCGCCUCUCUCUCCCUUUGCUCGUAACUCUGGCCUUCCUUCAGCCACUGGCUUUCGGAAGACCAAAUCGCUGA